Molecule: ribosomal RNA, 261 nt
Filed under: uncultured bacterium
Lineage: Bacteria
Description: partial 16S ribosomal RNA
Rfam family: Bacterial small subunit ribosomal RNA
Source: RNAcentral
GUCCACGCCGUAAACGGUGGGCACUAGGUGUGGGUCACAUUCCACGUGAUCCGUGCCGUAGCUAACGCAUUAAGUGCCCCGCCUGGGGAGUACGGCCGCAAGGCUAAACUCAAAGGAAUUGACGGGGCCCGCACAAGCGGCGGAGCAUGCGGAUUAAUUCGAUGCAACGCGAAGAACCUUACCUGGGUUUGACAUAUGCCGGAAAGCUGCAGAGAUGUGGCCUCCCUUUGGGCCGGUUUACAGGUGGUGCAUGGCUGUCGU